UUUUCGAAUGUGUAUGUACUAGUUUAAUUUUCGAGUUGCAACAACCCUUUCUCCAAGUUUCGCCUGUAACACACCACAAUUCAACUGCAUACCACCGACCGGCCGUAUUUGUUAAUACAGUCUAAUUCCCCUUUGUUUCGUUGGAUUCCUUCGCAGUUCUUAAAAUGACAAAAAGAGGACGACCAACAAAUUCACAACAAUCCCAGCAAGAGGAGAUGCAAUUGUGUAUGAGGACAACUAAAAACAAACGGUGCAGAGUGAGUUCCUUUCGUUGGAACCGUUCAAAGCUGCCAGCCCGGUCAUUAUAGACACUUGGUGCUCUUACUUGAAUAACAUGGAGAAGCUGAAGGCACCAGAUAGUAGUUGUCAUUAUUUUGAUUGUUGUAGGAAAUACGAACUAUCAACGGGCUGAUGAGUACUUCAAUGAGUUAACCGCACAGUUAUUAGAG
Molecule: long non-coding RNA, 449 nt
Organism: Salvia splendens (bonfire salvia)
Lineage: Eukaryota; Viridiplantae; Streptophyta; Magnoliopsida; Lamiales; Lamiaceae
Exons: 2
Source: RefSeq, a predicted model, not a curated record